This 1214-nucleotide ribosomal RNA is filed under the name marine sediment metagenome. Its description in RNAcentral is "bacterial SSU rRNA". It matches the Rfam family "Bacterial small subunit ribosomal RNA", at positions 359 to 1520 of the family's 1533-position model. The record is from RNAcentral.
AUUGUUUGUUUUCAUCCUCUCGUACUAUUUACUCUUCGUUACCUUGUUGAGCCGUUAGCUCACUAACUCGCUGAUAGGCCGCGAGGUUGUUGAAGGCCCUAGGGUCGUAAACUCCUGUCAUAUAAGAGUAAGACAUACCUGGUUAAUAGCCUGAGUAUGUUUGAUAGUAUUAUAAGAGGAAGGGACGGCUAACUUCGUGCCAGCAGCCGCGGUAAUACGAAGGUCCCGAGCGUUAUUCGGAAUCACUGGGCGUAAAGAGUACGUAGGCGGUCUGGUAAGUCAGGUGUGAAAUCCCGGAGCUCAACUCCGGAACUGCAUCCGAUACUGCCAGACUAGAGUAAUGGAGGGGCAGGUGGAAUUCUCGGUGUAGCAGUGAAAUGCGUGGAUAUCGAGAGGAAGACCAAUGGCGAAGGCAGCCUGCUGGACAUUUACUGACGCUGAGGUACGAAGGCUAGGGUAGCGAAAGGGAUUAGAUACCCCUGUAGUCCUAGCAGUAAACGGUGCGCGCUUGGGGUAGGACGACUCGACCCCUUCUGUGCCGGAGCUAACGCGUUAAGCGCGCCGCCUGGGGAGUACGGUCGCAAGACUAAAACUCAAAGAAAUUGACGGGGACCCGCACAAGCGGUGGAGUAUGUGGCUUAAUUCGAUGCAACGCGAAGAACCUUACCAAGGCUUGACAUGUAUUGCUAAGCACGUGAAAGCGUGUGACCCUUCGGGGACCUUACACAGGUGCUGCAUGGCCGUCGUCAGCUCGUGUCGUGAGAUGUUUGGUUAAGUCCAGCAACGAGCGCAACCCCUGUGAAUAGUUGCCAGCACGUAAUGGUGGGGACUCUAUUCAGACUGCCCGGGUCAACCGGGAGGAAGGUGGGGAUGACGUCAGGUCAGUAUGGCCCUUACGCCUUGGGCUGCACACGUACUACAAUGCCCAGUACAAUGAGAACCGAUCCCGCGAGGAGGAGGAAAUCUGCAAAACUGGGCCCAGUUCGGAUUGGAGGCUGCAACUCGCCUCCAUGAAGUUGGAAUCGCUAGUAAUGGCACAUCAGCUACGGUGCCGUGAAUACGUUCCCGGGUCUUGUACACACCGACCGUCACAUCAUGGAAUUCGGUCGCACCCGAAGUAUCUGCGCUAACUAUUUAUAGAAGCAAGGUCCUAAGGUGUAGCUGGUAACUGGGAUGAAGUCGUAACAAGGUAGCCGUAGGGGAACCUGCGGCUG